AGUGAACGCUGGCGGUAGGCCUAACACAUGCAAGUCGAACGGCAGCACAGUAAGAGCUUGCUCUUACGGGUGGCGAGUGGCGGACGGGUGAGGAAUACAUCGGAAUCUACUUUUUCGUGGGGGAUAACGUAGGGAAACUUACGCUAAUACCGCAUACGACCUACGGGUGAAAGCAGGGGAUCUUCGGACCUUGCGCGAUUGAAUGAGCCGAUGUCGGAUUAGCUAGUUGGCGGGGUAAAGGCCCACCAAGGCGACGAUCCGUAGCUGGUCUGAGAGGAUGAUCAGCCACACUGGAACUGAGACACGGUCCAGACUCCUAUGGGAGGCAGCAGUGGGGAAUAUUGGACAAUGGGCGCAGGCCUGAUCCAGCCAUACCGCGUGGGUGAAGAAGGCCUUCGGGUUGUAAAGCCCUUUUGUUGGGAAAGAAAAGCAGCAGGUUAAUACCCCGCUGUUCUGACGGUACCCAAAGAAUAAGCACCGGCUAACUUCGUG
RNAcentral lists this ribosomal RNA (492 nucleotides) under uncultured bacterium. RNAcentral's name for it is "partial 16S ribosomal RNA". It matches the Rfam family "Bacterial small subunit ribosomal RNA", at positions 29 to 507 of the family's 1533-position model. The record is from RNAcentral.